This 679-nucleotide ribosomal RNA is filed under the name Salmonella enterica. RNAcentral describes it as "partial 23S ribosomal RNA". It matches the Rfam family "Bacterial large subunit ribosomal RNA", at positions 2263 to 2925 of the family's 2925-position model. RNAcentral also lists the same sequence under 2 other names. The record is from RNAcentral. Lineage: Bacteria; Pseudomonadati; Pseudomonadota; Gammaproteobacteria; Enterobacterales; Enterobacteriaceae.
GGGUAGUUUGACUGGGGCGGUCUCCUCCUAAAGAGUAACGGAGGAGCACGAAGGUUGGCUAAUCCUGGUCGGACAUCAGGAGGUUAGUGCAAUGGCAUAAGCCAGCUUGACUGCGAGCGUGACGGCGCGAGCAGGUGCGAAAGCAGGUCAUAGUGAUCCGGUGGUUCUGAAUGGAAGGGCCAUCGCUCAACGGAUAAAAGGUACUCCGGGGAUAACAGGCUGAUACCGCCCAAGAGUUCAUAUCGACGGCGGUGUUUGGCACCUCGAUGUCGGCUCAUCACAUCCUGGGGCUGAAGUAGGUCCCAAGGGUAUGGCUGUUCGCCAUUUAAAGUGGUACGCGAGCUGGGUUUAGAACGUCGUGAGACAGUUCGGUCCCUAUCUGCCGUGGGCGCUGGAAGAUUGAGGGGGGCUGCUCCUAGUACGAGAGGACCGGAGUGGACGCAUCACUGGUGUUCGGGUUGUCAUGCCAAUGGCACUGCCCGGUAGCUACAUGCGGAAGAGAUAAGUGCUGAAAGCAUCUAAGCACGAAACUUGCCCCGAGAUGAAUCUUCCCUGAGCCUUUAAGGCUCCUGAAGGAACGUUGAAGACGACGACGUUGAUAGGCCGGGUGUGUAAGCGCAGCGAUGCGUUGAGCUAACCGGUACUAAUGAACCGUGAGGCUUAACCUUACAACGCCGAA